This is a long non-coding RNA of Gasterosteus aculeatus aculeatus (three-spined stickleback), 1392 nucleotides long. Lineage: Eukaryota; Metazoa; Chordata; Actinopteri; Perciformes; Gasterosteidae. The record is from Ensembl.
UGCUCAUUUCUCAUGCUCUCGCAGUCAGCUCCAUCAUCUGAGGAACAAUUCAAUUUUGGAUUUGUAUUCACCGAAUUGCUGGGUAACCCAGCGCGGGCACGGUGCUGAAUGAAGCUAUUGACUCAUAGACACUUGAAUGCCUCGACGCGCUACUGUAUCGAGCUAAUUCCACAGACGAUACUUGUUCAUAAGAUUCUUUAUGUGUGCUAGGAUGACGGUUUCAGGGCCUCCCCGUUCACCGCGAGUGUUUUUUUUCUUUCUGUGCUGCUUGUUCCUUGCGGCUCAUCUCCGAGAGCACAACCUGUGCCGGCUUCAAUAAACAGCCAGCGCACACAUCAACACCUCUAAGUCAGAGCAACAGUUUGAUCUAGAGGCGCUCCUGGGGUGAACCCAGAGGGUGAGCUCACCUGUGCUCUACGUGACGAACGAGUGGAGCACUCACGCUGGGAACCCGGCUGCAGUUAAACACAACGACCCGAUCCUUCCUCCAAACGGCUGAAGAAUCGCCAAUGGAAGAUGGGGAAACAGGCCAAACGCCGAAAGCUGAAUUGCUGUUGUGUUCACCGGAGAGAAUGACGCCAGCUUUCAGAGAAACGGGACGUGCGGCACGCGCUGUGGUGGCGACGUGUCAAAUCGCCCAGGCCGAUGCGGCACAGCUCCAAUCAGCCAGAAUGAACUCAUGAAUUCAUUUAAAACGUGGCAGCACGAGUCUCGCGCGCAAAUACUGGUAUUAAAGUUGCCGCAGCAGCCACCUUCCCACUUGAAGAGGCAGCAGGAGAAAACCAUUUGGAAAACUUGGACUUUGAUACCCAGACACCAUGUUAUAAAAUGUAAACUACACAAGGCACUCUGGCCUCUACCAGCCUUGCUCACCAGUGAUCAAAGGGACAUUGGAUGGGAUGGAUACAACAGCUAAAUCCAGCUUUUCCUGCUCAAAUAUCUUGUAAAGGAACUGCGUUCGGCCCCCAACUUCUUUUUGUUACUUGCUUUGGGUGGGAAAGAAAUCCUGUGAGUAAUCUUAAAAUACAUUACCAGGUCUUUGGCGCAUGUUGAAGAGUUUUCCACACCAUGUUUAUACUGUAUAUGGCAAUUCAUGAACAACACAUUUUUCUUGUGGGAAACUAUACAAGGUUAUUGCUGUCAGUCAUCCUUUUAGUCGCCGCCAGUUUCCUCGCAACACAAAGAGGCAGCAGCCGCCCCCGUGGCUCACGCGCCGCCGUGUUUGAAGCCUAAUGCGUCGGUGUUGACAUUUGCACAAUGACAAUCCUUACAUCUCAAGUUGCUAAUUGCACUGUAAACAACGAGCCGUCGGGGGAGAAGGAAGCCCGGGCGUGGAUCCCCGCCGGUUAAAGCGCAACCACAGAAAAGCAGGCUUUUCAUCGUCAGACAAAG